Molecule: transfer RNA, 62 nt
Filed under: Junonia orithya madagascariensis
Lineage: Eukaryota; Metazoa; Arthropoda; Insecta; Lepidoptera; Nymphalidae
Also listed under: 1 other name
Description: tRNA-Cys
Source: RNAcentral
CUUAUAUUCAAUAAUGAUAUGAAAUUGCAAAUUUUAAGGUGUAAAGUAUACUAAGGCUUAAA